AAGGCAUGAAGUGAAUUUAUCCAGAGAAAUGAGGAAGUACAACAGCCAGAAAAGAUAGACCUUUAUCACAGACCACAGUAUUUUUUUUUAAAAAAAGAAGGACAAUCAACACUUUUGGCCAAAGGGCAAAAAAAAAAAGUAUUCAGCGACUGUAAAUGAGAUGAGAUAGUACAGAUUUGUCUGCUUCUACUUUAUGAUCCUUGCCCCUAACUAAUACUGAGAUUCUCUCCCUGUUGACUUUCAUGUUGGAAGGGAUGAUGUUGUGGAAACAAUUAUCGCUGUUUGUGGAUGAAUCAUGGAGUUUAAAAUCAAGGAAGAAUUCCUUCUUCUCCCCUCCUGCUUGACUGCUAAGGCAAGAGCUUCCCGCGCAGUGGAAACCAAGAAACAUUGGGAUUCUGGAAUGAGAAUUUUUCAUUUCUUGAAGUCAACUGGCCCAGAUGUCUGACAGGUACUGGUGGAAGUCUUGAGAAAGUUCUUUUGCGGGGCAGGACUCUGGAACAU
Molecule: long non-coding RNA, 501 nt
Filed under: Calidris pugnax (ruff)
Lineage: Eukaryota; Metazoa; Chordata; Aves; Charadriiformes; Scolopacidae
Description: lncRNA (ENSCPUG00000009649.1)
Source: RNAcentral